GGGAAAUCCAUUUAUCAUAAAAACAUAGAAUGUGAUGGCAGAUAAGAACCAUUAGGCCCAUCUAAUCUGUCCAAUUUUCUAAAUACUUUCAUUAGUCCCUGGAUUUAUUUUAAAUCUAGGAUAGCCUUAUGCCUAUCCCAUGCAUGCUUAAACUCCCUCACUGUGUUAAAGGGACUCUCCAGUGCCAGGAAAACAGACACUGCAGGUCCC
Pelobates cultripes (western spadefoot toad) is the source of this 210-nucleotide non-coding RNA. NCBI's taxonomy places the organism in Eukaryota, Metazoa, Chordata, Amphibia, Anura, Pelobatidae. The record is from the annotation of a GenBank genome assembly.